This 147-nucleotide non-coding RNA is filed under the name Pan paniscus (pygmy chimpanzee). Lineage: Eukaryota; Metazoa; Chordata; Mammalia; Primates; Hominidae. RNAcentral also lists the same sequence under 1 other name. The record is from Rfam by way of RNAcentral.
GUCAGGCAUGGUGGCGGGUGCCUGUAAUCCCAGCUACUUGGAGACUGAGGCAGGAGAAUUGCUUGAACCCAGGAGGCCGAGGUUGUAGUGAACUGAGAUUGCGCCACUGCACUCCAGUCUGGGUGACACAGCAAGACUCCGUCUCAA